AAUGGCUCAUUAAAUCAGUUAUCGUUUAUUUGAUAGUACCUUUACCUGGAUAACCGUGGUAAUUCUAGAGCUAAUACAUGCUAAAAACCUCGACUUCGGAAGGGGUGUAUUUAUUAGAUAAAAAACCAAUGCCCUUCGGGGCUCCUUGGUGAUUCAUAAUAACUUAACGAAUCGCAUGGCCUUGCGCCGGCGAUGGUUCAUUCAAAUUUCUGCCCUAUCAACUUUCGAUGGUAAGAUAGUGGCUUACCAUGGUCUCAACGGGUAACGGGGAAUUAGGGUUCUAUUCCGGAGAGGGAGCCUGAGAAACGGCUACCACAUCCAAGGAAGGCAGCAGGCGCGCAAAUUACCCAAUCCCAAUUCGGGGAGGUAGUGACAAUAAAUACUGAUACGGGGCUCUUUCGGGUCUCGUAAUUGGAAUGAGUACAAUCUAAAUCCCUUAACG
RNAcentral lists this ribosomal RNA (442 nucleotides) under Exophiala pisciphila. RNAcentral describes it as "SSU rRNA". It matches the Rfam family "Eukaryotic small subunit ribosomal RNA", at positions 92 to 539 of the family's 1831-position model. The record is from RNAcentral. Lineage: Eukaryota; Fungi; Ascomycota; Eurotiomycetes; Chaetothyriales; Herpotrichiellaceae.